Non-coding RNA from Labrus bergylta (ballan wrasse), 843 nucleotides. Lineage: Eukaryota; Metazoa; Chordata; Actinopteri; Labriformes; Labridae. The record is from RefSeq and is a predicted model, not a curated record.
UUAUAAAUACCCAGGAAGUGCUAAGCCAGACCUUUUUAGCUGCAUGGGACCACAUGGGGAACUGAACAAAAGAACAAAGAAAGUGCACUUACCGAUGGUGAUCUGACUGACGCAGCUGUAGAAGGUUCCUGAAGAGACAUUGUAGCUGCCACUGCUGGGCUCACGGUCUAUGACGGAAGCAGACAUCAGUAUCAUACACUGCAGAAUGCCUUUACCUGCGGAUCCGGAGGAGAGACGCGUCGCGAUAGCGUGGCGAGGACUGCGCAGACUUCCCGGACAGACCCGCACACAGGCUCUCCUGACCUUCUCCGACUCCGCCGCACCCCAUGUGCUCGCCCCCCCGCCUGGAUCUUCAUACCUGUGUUGAUCCGAUGGACCAGCCGCUGCUUCAUGCUCGAGCAUUCUCUUUACAAGCGGAGGUCACAGUUAUCAUAACGCAUGGCUUGGAGGUGUGUGACGGAAACUAUCUUUCCUCUACCUACGGCAAUCUUAACUCCACCCACUUUUUUUGUAUUCAAGUGCUUAUUUUCCAGACUUGUCCCCCAAUAUCAGCUCACCUCCGCUCCAUCAUGCCAGCCUAUCUCUGCGGCUUGGGGGUUGGUUGACGUUGCGGCUCUUUAAGCACGGCUGAAGGCGUGGCUGCUUCACGUGGUUGGUUAGGUCGCAGUGUCACGUUGCCGUGGGAGUUUUAAUUAUCAAAAAUUAAGCGUACAUAAAGGAAGGUCUCUACUAAGUACCGAAGAGACUCCUCACUUUAAAAAGCAAGUCAUUCUGCAGAUUCUGCAAUUUACUCUUGAACCAUUCUAAUGCAAAAGUCAAUUACAACUUUUAUUUAAGUAAUUG